RNAcentral lists this long non-coding RNA (255 nucleotides) under Cyanistes caeruleus (blue tit). Its description in RNAcentral is "lncRNA (ENSCCEG00000020826.1)". The record is from RNAcentral. Lineage: Eukaryota; Metazoa; Chordata; Aves; Passeriformes; Paridae.
ACCUGUCUGUGCCAAAUCAACAUACCCUCAUAAAAAGGAACCUUAAAUUCGAGAUGAAGAGGGACAAAGACUAGGAGAGAAGUAUAGGUUCAAGUAAAGAGUUCUUCAAAGAAGGUGGAUAAGGGUACAUAAAAAAUGGAAGGAUUGACCAGCCUGUAUCUGUCCUCCUCUAAUUGCUUCCUACACCAGAAAGAUAAGGUGAUGAACUUGGAUCUUUGGCAAAGGAAAGAAUCCUUUGGUGUUGAGAGGCUCUAA